Molecule: long non-coding RNA, 1628 nt
Organism: Mizuhopecten yessoensis (Yesso scallop)
Lineage: Eukaryota; Metazoa; Mollusca; Bivalvia; Pectinida; Pectinidae
Exons: 2
Source: RefSeq, a predicted model, not a curated record
ACUAUACCCUCGAUGUUCCCAAAUUUUUCCAGAUACGUGUGGUUAUUACUAUACAGGACAGUGUAGGGCCUACAGUGUGUAUAUACAGUGAUAUUUGGGCGGGGCAGUGCUGGGUUAACAUCGAGGCAGUGGCGUGAAUAUCAAACUCUUUGGUGAUUUGAGACUUUGUGAAGAGGGUUGAUUGCUCCAGUUUACGGUCAACUAGAAGAAGGACCGUAUACCAGAGGACACAGGUAAGGUAUCUUAUGCAUAGGAAUUGACAGUUACUAAGCAACAGACAUGGGUUUAGGGGAAGGUCAAGGAGAAGGUCAAGGUGAAGGCAAAGGAAAGGGAGGUUUAUGUCCCGGAAUACUGUGGGGAAUUCUAUGGUUUCUCAUCCUGUGGUUCCUGGGAUGGCCCAUAGCGUUUUUUAUAGCUUGGUUGUAUAUACUCCUGUUGCCGUUCUCAGCCUGUAUCGAGCCACUGAAGGGAGUUUGUGAAGCAUUGCUCAAAGUUGUCAACCUGCCGCUGACAUGUGCAGAGAACAUGAUCGCUAUGAAGCCGCUGUGUGGUGGAUAAAUUAGACUAGGACAUUUAGAUUUAGUGACAAUGUCUACUGUUAAAUGUUAAUAUUGAAUUUAGAAAGAAUCCAAAAACUCAUAACGUUUGCAUAUGGUCAAAAAUCUCCAUUCAAUAUAUAAUACAUACAAGAAUGAUGUCAAUAUCAAGAAAGAAAGUAACUCAACAACACAGCAUCAAUUCUUACAGCCACAUGCUGUUGUCUAUUUUGUAUAAUGAAAUUUAGUUUCAAAGUCGAAGAUUUCAUUAAGAUGAAAAUUACUUAUUAAUUAUGUACAGUAAACACUGUAGUCCACGUAAAAUAUACUGGAAUCCUGUUUCACAGAGUUGAAGAAAAGCUUGAAGGAAUUUUCUUAACUUAAAGGAACAAUUGAGAGACAGGGGCCAGAACUUUGCUAUGAUGUAUUACCCUGGUACUCUCCGUUACGUACAUUUCUCAUCACAAAGUAUUCAGCUAACUCCAGUGACUGCGGACCUACAAUAUUUUUCCCGUGUGAGGUUUAAGUCACAUUUGAACCUUACCAAAUCAAAGACAUGGCAAGUCCAGUUUAAAUAUGUAGGGGUGAAUGAGUUAAAACGCUGCGCAUUUCCGAGGUGCAAUGUACAAGUCACUGCACGUCAAGCUGAUGACUAAACUGCUCAAAUGUUUAAGGAUGUAUAGUGUGGUUAGUCAACAACGACAAGUACAUCCUGAACGACCGCGGAACACCAGAUUAUAACAGGAUCACCGAGAUACUGGCUGCAGUCUUUACUCACAGGACUAAACAACCCUAAUACACAAUACUUUAAAACCACAGCAAAAUAAAUUUUAGGAUAUACAUAUUGUGUAUGUAAGUCAAGAAUGUCGACUUUACAAAAAACACGACUCCAUUACAUAUCUCUGUAAUAUCAUACAAUGUACCAGUAAAAGACUGACCUUAAUUAUUCGUAACUAGUUUUUGAAUAUGUGUGCCAAGUCACCUAAUUUCUUACAGAGAAUGUAUUACGGAAGUCACAUUGACACAUCUACCACUAAAGUGCUUUAUUAAUUAGUGAUAUUAUUUUAGGAAAUAAAUAAUUUAUGAUAAGAA